This 409-nucleotide ribosomal RNA is filed under the name uncultured bacterium. Its description in RNAcentral is "bacterial SSU rRNA". It matches the Rfam family "Bacterial small subunit ribosomal RNA", at positions 355 to 776 of the family's 1533-position model. The record is from RNAcentral.
UCAAGAACAUUCGACAAUGGGCGAAAGCCUGAUCGAGCGACGCCGCGUGCGGGAAGAAGCUCUUCGGAGUGUAAACCGCUUUUAUAGGGGAGGAACUAAAGUGACGUUAUCCUAUGAAUAAGGCCUUGCUAACCUCGUGCCAGCAGCCGCGGUAAGACGAGGAGGUCAAGCGUUAUCCGGAUUUAUUGGGCGUAAAGGGUGUGUAGGGGGCAUAGUUAGUCCCUGUUCAAAUUGCACUGCUUAACAGUGCAACCGGCAGGGAAACGGCUAAGCUUCGAGGGUGCCAGAGGCAAAUGGAACUCAUGGUGUAGGGGUGAAAUCCGUUGAUAUCAUGGGGAACACCAAAGGCGAAGGCAAUUUGCUGGGGCAUUCCUGACCCUGAAACACGAAAGCGUGGGGAUCAAAAAGG